GCAAUAAAAGCAGAAAUGUGGUGCGUCGGCCUUGUAAGUCGAAAGGUGGAGGACAAGAGCCUCUUUAUUGUU
RNAcentral lists this transfer RNA (72 nucleotides) under Angaria neglecta. Its description in RNAcentral is "tRNA-Thr". It matches the Rfam family "tRNA". From Rfam's summary of the family: Transfer RNA (tRNA) molecules are approximately 80 nucleotides in length. The record is from RNAcentral. Lineage: Eukaryota; Metazoa; Mollusca; Gastropoda; Trochida; Turbinidae.